Molecule: unclassified non-coding RNA, 768 nt
Filed under: Spiraea martini
Lineage: Eukaryota; Viridiplantae; Streptophyta; Magnoliopsida; Rosales; Rosaceae
Description: partial contains small subunit ribosomal RNA, internal transcribed spacer 1, 5.8S ribosomal RNA, internal transcribed spacer 2, and large subunit ribosomal RNA
Rfam family: 5.8S ribosomal RNA (bases 335-490)
Source: RNAcentral
UCCACUGGACCUUAUCAUUUAGAGGAAGGAGAAGUCGUAACAAGGUUUCCGUAGGUGAACCUGCGGAAGGAUCAUUGUCGAAACCUGCCUAGCAGAACGACCCGAGAACCGAUUUCAUAAACGUCCCCGCAUCCCGCACGGUCGCGGCCGCGCGCGUUUGCUAGUCCACCUGCUGGACAUGCUGCGCGCGCUCCGUCUUCCUCUGCGGGAGUACAAACGAAAACCGGCGCGAACCGCGCCAAGGAUCCCUAAACGAAUAGGCGCGCUCCCGCGAGCCCCGUUAACGGUGCGCGGACGGGCUGCGUCGCCGAAUUCAUUAUUACUAUGUCAAAACGACUCUCGGCAACGGAUAUCUCGGCUCUCGCAUCGAUGAAGAACGUAGCGAAAUGCGAUACUUGGUGUGAAUUGCAGAAUCCCGUGAACCAUCGAGUCUUUGAACGCAAGUUGCGCCCAAAGCCGUCAGGCCGAGGGCACGCCUGCCUGGGCGUCACACGCCGUUGCCCCCUCGCGCCCCGCACCCUCUUCUUGGGAGCGAACGCGGUGGGGCUGAUGAUGGCCUCCCGUGCGCUCCGCCGCGCGGUUGGCCCAAAUAUCGAGUCCCCGGCGACGUGCGCCACGACGAUCGGUGGUUGAGAGACCUCUGUCGCAUGUCGUGCGCGCCCGUCGCGUCACGCGGGCUCGCAUAGCGCCGCGCGCCGCACACAGUGCGGAGCCUUCAACGCGACCCCAGGUCAGGCGGGGUUACCCGCUGAAUUUAAGCAUAUCAAU